Molecule: transfer RNA, 74 nt
Filed under: Lacunisphaera sp.
Lineage: Bacteria; Pseudomonadati; Verrucomicrobiota; Opitutia; Opitutales; Opitutaceae
Also listed under: 1 other name
Description: tRNA-Gly
Rfam family: tRNA
About the family: Transfer RNA (tRNA) molecules are approximately 80 nucleotides in length. Their secondary structure includes four short double-helical elements and three loops (D, anti-codon, and T loops). Further hydrogen bonds mediate the characteristic L-shaped molecular structure. tRNAs have two regions of fundamental functional importance: the anti-codon, which is responsible for specific mRNA codon recognition, and the 3' end, to which the tRNAs corresponding amino acid is attached (by aminoacyl-tRNA synthetases). tRNAs cope with the degeneracy of the genetic code in two manners: having more than one tRNA (with a specific anti-codon) for a particular amino acid; and 'wobble' base-pairing, i.e. permitting non-standard base-pairing at the 3rd anti-codon position.
Source: RNAcentral
GCGCGCGUGGCGUAGGAGCAACGCGGCGGUCUGCCAGUCCGCAGUCCCGGGUGCGAUUCCCGGCGCGCGCACCA